UAGGCUCGUGACAGUCGAUCGAAUGUCGGUAUCCGUUGCAAACGCGUGUACGCGCGCGGCACGCCUCGCGAGUCUGAUUUAGGCAAUUUAGAUCGCCGCAGCUGCGUGCUGUGCAGCCUUUCAGCCUGUCAGUUCUUGCUCUGACGAAAUAGCGAAAUCGUCGGCGCGUCUCUCGAUCGGUUUUGCCCGCCGGCGAUGUGUAACAACGACGGCGAUGGCGCGGCGGCGAUUGAAAAUCCAAGAAUCCGGGAAAACUUUCGAGGAACGCAGCUAACGAACAAACUUUCGCUGUAUGUAUAGCCCGUCGUCGCAAGAUCUCGACAGAGUCGAGAUUUCGUACUUAACGAUUUAUAUAACGAAACGACUACGCGUCGGUACGGAGUCGAUAAACCGAGUAUUAAUUAAAUACACGACGAUGACACGCCGGGAUCUUCGAGCAUCUCGACCAGUCUGCGCUCUUUGAAAUUUAAAAGACUUGAGGAAACCGAGCCAUAGCUCAUUGGUGUUUGAUUAACCAAAUAGAA
Wasmannia auropunctata (little fire ant) is the source of this 524-nucleotide long non-coding RNA. RefSeq lists it as uncharacterized. The record is from RefSeq and is a predicted model, not a curated record. Lineage: Eukaryota; Metazoa; Arthropoda; Insecta; Hymenoptera; Formicidae. The transcript has 2 exons.